RNAcentral lists this ribosomal RNA (450 nucleotides) under uncultured bacterium. Its description in RNAcentral is "bacterial SSU rRNA". It matches the Rfam family "Bacterial small subunit ribosomal RNA", at positions 354 to 796 of the family's 1533-position model. The record is from RNAcentral.
GUGGGGAAUUUUGGACAAUGGGCGCAAGCCUGAUCCAGCAAUGCCGCGUGCAGGAAGAAGGCCUUCGGGUUGUAAACUGCUUUUGUACGGAACGAAACGGUCCGGGUUAAUACCCUGGGCUAAUGACGGUACCGUAAGAAUAAGCACCGGCUAACUACGUGCCAGCAGCCGCGGUAAUACGUAGGGUGCAAGCGUUAAUCGGAAUUACUGGGCGUAAAGCGUGCGCAGGCGGCUUUGUAAGACAGGCGUGAAAUCCCCGGGCUCAACCUGGGAAUUGCGCUUGUGACUGCGAGGCUGGAGUGCGGCAGAGGGGGAUGGAAUUCCGCGUGUAGCAGUGAAAUGCGUAGAUAUGCGGAGGAACACCGAUGGCGAAGGCAAUCCCCUGGGCCUGCACUGACGCUCAUGCACGAAAGCGUGGGGAGCAAACAGGAUUAGAUACCCUAGUAGUCC